Molecule: ribosomal RNA, 448 nt
Filed under: uncultured Rhodococcus sp.
Lineage: Bacteria; Bacillati; Actinomycetota; Actinomycetes; Mycobacteriales; Nocardiaceae
Description: bacterial SSU rRNA
Rfam family: Bacterial small subunit ribosomal RNA
Source: RNAcentral
UUGCCUACGGGAGGCAGCAGUGGGGAAUAUUGCACAAUGGGCGAAAGCCUGAUGCAGCGACGCCGCGUGAGGGAUGACGGCCUUCGGGUUGUAAACCUCUUUCAGCAGGGACGAAGCGCAAGUGACGGUACCUGCAGAAGAAGCACCGGCUAACUACGUGCCAGCAGCCGAGGUAAUACGCAGGGUGCAAGCGUUGUCCGGAAUUACUGGGCGUAAAGAGUUCGUAGGUGGUUUGUCGCGUCGUUUGUGAAAACCAGCAGCUCAACUGCUGGCUAGCAGGCGAUACGGGCAGACUUGAGUACUGCAGGUGAGACUGGAAUUCCUGGUGUAGCGGUGAAAUGCGCAGAUAUCAGGAGGAACACCGGUGGCGAAGGCGGGUCUCUGGGCAGUAACUGACGCUGAGGAACGAAAGCGUGGGUAGCGAACAGGAUUAGAUACCCCUGUAGUC